Long non-coding RNA from Chrysemys picta bellii (western painted turtle), 677 nucleotides. RefSeq lists it as uncharacterized. NCBI's taxonomy places the organism in Eukaryota, Metazoa, Chordata, Testudines, Emydidae. The record is from RefSeq and is a predicted model, not a curated record.
AGACUCAAUGUAACCACUGAAGACUGCCCCAGCUGACAGCUCUGAAAAAAGACCUGUCAGCUAGGAGAAGGAUUGUGUCUAAUGGAAUGAAGAUCCUCAAUUGCAUCUGGAGCAGGAGGAGGGAGGAGGACACAGACACCCCACAGGAUUCCACAAACACGCCCAACCAAGGAGGAACAAUUGGAUUCAAAGUGAGCUGGGAAGCUCCCCUUCAGCCAGAUGAAUUACUGAGAUGGUGCAAGCAGAAGGAGCCAUUUUCCAAAUGGAAGGCAAAAUAGGGAAGAUGGGGUGCAGAAGGAGGAAAGGAAGAAUCAUUCCCCUGUCUGGAGCCAGCUGUAGAGGAAGAAUUGUCUUGGAGACAAGAGUCUGAACUAAGUGACCUGUCUGGGGAGGACUCUGUCUAUCCAGAGAUCUGUAUGCAGUGUUGUAGCCAUGUUGGUCUCUGGAUUUAGAGAGACAAGGUGGGUGAGGUAAUAUCUUUUACUGGACCAGCUUCUAUUGGUGACAGAGAUGAGCUUUUAAGUUUACAAAGAGAAGAACUCUGUAAGCUUGAAAGCUUCUCUCUCUCCAACAGAAGCUUAUCCAGUAAAAGAUACUCUCGUCUCACCCAUAUUGUCUGUCUAAUAUGUAGAGAUCUUACAGUCUGCAAACAUUUUCAGGAUUCAGUGGGACUGUCC